Herpailurus yagouaroundi (jaguarundi) is the source of this 1128-nucleotide long non-coding RNA. RefSeq lists it as uncharacterized. Lineage: Eukaryota; Metazoa; Chordata; Mammalia; Carnivora; Felidae. The transcript has 4 exons. The record is from RefSeq and is a predicted model, not a curated record.
CGGGCGCGCGGGAGGGGGGAGGAGGCGGGGCGGGGCGGGGCGGGGGCGCGUGCCGCGAGAGGCUCCGUGCACGCGCAGAUGAGGCCGUGCGCGUGCGUGAGCGCGCAUUCCGCGGGGCGCCCGUUUAAGGAGUUGGGCUGGCAGUGACUGCGCAUGCUGAGAAGGCCGCCCGCGCGGGCAAGCCCGCGCAGGCUCAGACCCCCCCCCCGCCCCCCGAGGCGAAGAGCCGGGCAGGGCCGCGGGGAGGGAAUGGAAGAGCCUGGGGGCGGGGUCGGAGGUCAACACAAUCUCUUCCAGGCCACCGAGGCACGGUCCUUACCUGAACACCAAGAUGACUUUCUCCCUGGGUAUCAGAAAUUUCUGCAUGACUGAAACGGCACCUGUGAAAGGUUCAGAACCUUCUGAAUUUCUAAAGUAAUGGCAGAGGAACAUGGAAAACGAAUAACAUUUGAACCAGUCAUACAUCAGUGGGAUGAAUGUUCUUCAAGCCUGCAGUCCCAGCACCACAAAAAUGCCUAAGGCUGGUCAAGGCAAGUGCGAGUGGCAUAGCAUCUCGCUUUGGAAUGAGGGAAGAGAAAACACCUAUUGGGCCUAAGCAGAAACCGAGACGGAAAGAGUCCCAUUUUAACACUUUGUUACAUUGUGAUGGCAAUAAUUAUUUUGGGGGGUAAUCAGUAUCUAAAAUUGAAAACAUUUAUUCUUUUGUUAUUCCUCGUGUUAUCUCUAUUUAACAAUAAUUAUAUUGUAUGCCAUUAGAAAUUGUGAAUAAUGAAGGGCAAAUUGUGGUUCACCACAUGGGCUAAACAUUAAUUUUACUAGAAGCAGAACCAUUGUCACAAAAUGAUCAUGCUUGAAUUCUAGCUUAAGAAAAGAGCUUGUGCUACUUGAGAUGAAGAGUCAAUUCUCUGGUGGGAAUUUCUAUAUGUCUUUUUGCAAUGGUGACAAGAUAGGUAGGAAAAUCACAAAUUCACUCAAUUUGUUGUUUCCACUGCAUGACAUCAAAUAACUUAGACAAAAGAAUCUUUCACUAAACCCCCAACUUUCUGGCAGAGUUGAUUGGUUCGUUUAGUCUUCUAUAGGUGAAUAUUUUUUUCAGUUGAUUUUUUGUGACAUUAAGCCCUUCAGAGA